UGUAUCCCUUAUAUAGAGAAACCUUCUACAAACCUUUCGUAAUUCGAUUUGAAUUAGUCACCACAUUCCUUAUUUAAUUUGAAUUAGUCAUCCAUAUGUAUCAUAAUUUAAUUCAACUUGAAUAAUUCAAAUCGCAUCUAGAUUUAACUUAUUCAACUCUAAUUUGUAAUUAAAUCAAACAUAUGGUUAAUUUCAAAUCAAACACAAAAAAUUACUCUCACUUCCCUUUAAUUAGGGAUAUUAGUAUUUUAAAAUUAAAUACCAAUAAAAUUUCAACAAUUGUUACUUUGAAUUUAGAUCUCGUAUUUACUUUUAAUAAUCUUUUGCCACACGUACAUUUAUAGUAUAUAGUUAACCGUUAAGAUUUAAUUAUAACUAUCUUUCCAAAAAAGAUUAGUACAGAAAUUAGAUCAGCGCUUAAUCUUUAUCCUGCUGCAUUGUAGUCAACGAUCAAAUCAACAAAACAUUUCGCCCUUUUCCACUGCAUGCUUUAAGAGAAAGCUAAAUAACUAAAUAAAAGGGGGCACCAGCUACUCAACUACAUUAUAUGUACUGCAGUCAUUUACAUCCUCAAGUAAUUCUUAUAUAUAGUCAUUGCAACUGUAUAUUAUUAGUACAUAUUAUUAGUAUAUAUGGACAUAUAUAUUGACAGUUUGGUACUUGUAGAUUUUGUAGGUACCUGCGUUCUUAUUAUAGUAGCAAGUAACAUUUUUCUUCAGAAAGAUCAAAAGUACCUUUCAAUUUUGAUGCAUAGUGCAAGGAACUAUUUAAAAACCUUUUCAAAGUUAACGGUGAUCUAUCUGCGAAGUUUUUAAAAAUUUAAGAAAUGGGACCUAUCUGCAAGAUUCCCAAGUUGAUGGACUAAUUUAAAACUUUACAAAGUUUUACGCGAAACGAUAAAUCGGUUGAGAGAAAUGGCCCAUCGACUGGGGGAGAAAGGCCCAAUUUUCAGUUUUAUCACAUAUUUUUCUAUAAUUCAUAAAAUCUUCUUGUCUCCUUGACAUCAAAACUUUAAGCUAGGAGUAUUCUGAAUCUAAUUCAGUUCGAUCCACUCAAUUUAUCAGAUCUGUAAAAAUUCAAUACGUGAAUUGGUGGAUUAGAUUAGGUUGAAAAUUAAAAAAUCUAUAGUUGAUUGCUUAUAUAUGGAUUUACUUCUUUAAAUCCGCAAAAAUUCGCGAAUCCACAAAAAAAAUAAAAAAUACUUAUUUAAUUAUAAAUAAAACUUGUAAAUGUGUCAUUAA
This 1241-nucleotide long non-coding RNA is filed under the name Citrus x clementina. Its description in RNAcentral is "Citrus clementina (C. clementina) long non-coding RNA (CCLE_LNC001501)". Lineage: Eukaryota; Viridiplantae; Streptophyta; Magnoliopsida; Sapindales; Rutaceae. The record is from RNAcentral.